CGCCGGCGCAGGCACGGAGGUCGGGUUGACCCAGUGGCUCCCCUCGGCGCCUAGGGACAGAUCUCGGCGGGUUUUAGGGUGCCCCGGCGACAGGCGGGUCUGGGCGGAGCCCCUGCCCCGCGGACGAGGCCGUCCGGUCCAGCCGACGGGGCGCACGGCGUCGCCCCUCGGAGGAUGCUCCCGGGACUUGGGAGAGGAUGGAGGGAAGAGAAGCGCCCGAGGAGCGGGCCGUCGACGUUUGAUGUCCGUGCUUUAAUGGAGGCCACCCGAUCUCAGAAGACGGGCCGGCCGAAGCAGCCAGCACCGGGGCCAGAGCCUCGGCCGGCCGCGCAGAGCCCGGGAGUCCCACGGGCAGCCACAGGGUGUCACAUCGGCACAGAAAAUACCUCCGGGGUCGGGAGACUGUUACCUGCUUACCUGCUGGCGAGAGGGAAACGCAGAAAGUAGCACUGCGUGACGUUUAGAAGGGUAGCUCUUUCGUUAGACAAAAGCCAGUUUUACCUUCCCGCAAAACCCAGUUGAACCUUUGGAACUUUGAUUUGCGGCAUUCUGGCGCCCUCUGGCUGUGUUUGGAUUGCUCGUGCUCGCCUGUUCCUUCCCCGCGAGGAAAAAUGAUCUAGUUAGAAGUUGGAUCUGCCCUCCUGACCUGGGAGUGAAUUCCAGACAGGCUUGGUGUCCAGAAUCAGGGUGACACAAUGUAACCAUAUUUAGGGGGACAAAUGCCUGAGAGAAGAUAAAAAUUAAUGUAUCGGCAGUGCUUCUGGCUACAUUUCAUGAUGGAGAGAAAAAACAAGCCUUCCAAGGGUGUGAUUGGAAUACAGAUCCAAGGUUACCAUGGAAACCAGAGCCAAAAGCUUACACCCAUGAAGAGAACUGUGGGUGGAAUGAAAAUGUCUUCAAUAAGCAAAGUCAGCCUUCCUGGGUUAUAAACUGAAUUGCGCUGCCAUUUUUAAUCACCUGUAUAACCAGCUGCAGUGCCACAGAACGUACAUCACUGAAGACGUUUACACAAGAUAAUUAUUCUAUGAUUACUGAUUUUUGCUAAAGGAUUUGCCAAAGAAUUGCUUGCAAUAUAAUGGACUCAUUGUCACCUAAAGUAGUUAGUUUACAAAAACUUCAGCAUGUGCUCAGCUUUUCAAACCAGGCCUAUGGUGUCGGUUGAGACCCACAGUGGAUUAUUUAUGUAGACCUCACUUCACCUUCCAACCUCAGCCUGGCUCCUCUCUCCCUACCUUCAGUCUCACCUGCCAAAGCCUAGCA
RNAcentral lists this long non-coding RNA (1260 nucleotides) under Heterocephalus glaber (naked mole-rat). RNAcentral describes it as "lncRNA (ENSHGLG00000036400.1)". The record is from RNAcentral. Lineage: Eukaryota; Metazoa; Chordata; Mammalia; Rodentia; Bathyergidae.